RNA transcript from Cucurbita moschata (crookneck pumpkin), 1629 nucleotides. RefSeq lists it as uncharacterized. The record is from RefSeq and is a predicted model, not a curated record. Lineage: Eukaryota; Viridiplantae; Streptophyta; Magnoliopsida; Cucurbitales; Cucurbitaceae. The transcript has 5 exons.
CUCCACGUUAAUCGCCGAGCGUUCAUCCUCUUCCAAAUUCUUCUCCUUUAAUCCUUUCUUUGUCUCUCCAGCUUUGAAUUCAUGGCGCAUAGCGGCUUACUCGGAGGCGGCAUACGGUGGAAAACAAGGAAGAAAAUGCGAGAGAAUGUCUCCGAUGAACGAGGCCAACAAAAUGGAACCCUAACUGUUCUUCUCCAAGACCCUUUCGAGGUUUUGGGUUCUGAUCUAUUAAUGGCGAUUCUUGGCUACGUUGAUUCACGCAGCGUGGCACUUUCUCUUCUUGUCUCUCGAUCCUGGUAUGGAAUUGCUUCCAGCGAUUCCCUAUGGAGUUCUAAGUGUGUGGAACUGUGGCUUGGGAUUGCACAUAUCCCUAGAUUGGCGCAAACCCGAGGUCUUCCAAAGAUGGCUGCCUAUUCGUUAUCUGUCAUGGAUGGCAAUCGGACUCGCAUUAUGAGGGAGGAUUUAUGUGACCACGCUUGGCAAUUUCACUUCAAUAAGUUGCACAAACUAUUUAUUCCCAUCUGGAAAUUUGAAAAUGUAACAGCGCACACGAUUAGCUGCAAGAGAGGUUAGAUGCCCGAUGAUGGAUGUUUUAGUAAUACAAAUUUCAUGAACGAUGUUCACAAUUUGAGAGCCAUGCUAGUGAUUAUGUUAUAAAUCAUCUAACAUGCACAAAAAGCUCGUUGGACUUGGAAGCCCAUGAAGCAUGGGUACUUUAGUUUAGGCAUUGUGUCUGUGUCUGACAUGUGCCACCACAUCCGUGUUGUGUCGUGUUCGUGAAUUACUUGCUCUCGGAAUGUCUAUGUUGAUGCUCACAGUUCUGAUAGCACGGUGAGGUAAAGGGGAUGUCUCGGAAGCUCCUGUUUACUGGCGAGAUCUUGAUCCGUAUUGGCAAGGUAGCCACCUUCUCAUGCGCCGUUAUUUCCACCCCGAUGGGAGCCAAACUGCAGAUCCUGAUGACAGAGUAUGGGGUGGCCAUGAAUGCUGCUUUUCCACUGUAACCACCGUUGUUGGUGAUGGGAAGAUCAGAGAACACUAUGUGAGGAUUAACAAAUGGCCAAAAGGAUGUUGGUGUCGAGGAAUGAAGAUUGGAGCUGGGAGAUGUCGAAUCACUUCACUUCGUACUCGAGCAUAGCUGAUGCUGAGGACGGUGGGACAGGGCCACUUUAAAGUAACAUAAUCAAAUUAGUUCCCUCCUUGAAUCUUGUCUUCUGGUAAGACAUUAGCCAAAAGGGUCACAAAAGGCUGGUGACGAAUGAUUGUUUGCUCUUUCUUGUAGAGGCUGCUGUUUUGCUGUGUACACAAGUUUGCGAGUCAUAGGAUUUGGUACUGGUUUUAGGUCACAUGUUCUUUUGAUCCUUAGCAUAAUAAUGGGAGGUAGGUUCUGUGUGUUUGUAGAUAAUGCUUGCUUGUAAGUAGUAGCGUUUGUAAUUAAUAAGUUUUCAUAUUUUAGGAGUGAUUUUGCUUUCGGACCGUUUUUUUUACUCGGUACAGCAAAUGUGAGGUAUAAUGAUUUGAACUUCCGACCUUAAAGGAGGGAGGACAUGCUACUAGGUUAUAUAUUUGAUUCUUAGGGUAUAGCUCUUUAAUACAUUCUUUUUCACAAUUGUAUAAGAUUAAUAUUGAACA